Passer montanus (Eurasian tree sparrow) is the source of this 517-nucleotide long non-coding RNA. RefSeq lists it as uncharacterized. Lineage: Eukaryota; Metazoa; Chordata; Aves; Passeriformes; Passeridae. The transcript has 3 exons. The record is from RefSeq and is a predicted model, not a curated record.
AGUCCUGCGGGCGGGCGCGCGCCCCUCUGUGGCCGGAGCGGCCUCGCCCAAAAUGGCGGCGCCGGCCUGAGGGGCGCUCGGCUCCCUCACGGGGCAGGCCCUCGGUGCUGUGUUCUGGCACAGGGGCGGCGUGAGCCGUCGAGGGGAGUAACAACAACGAUUUCUAAGGAAGUUACAACAGAGACUGAAACAGUUCAACAAAUGGCAAACGCGUAGUCAAGCCCCAGUAAAUGCUUAUAUAUAAACAUGACGUAGUAGAUUAUUUCUAUUAAAUUAAAUUAUCAGGAGAUAUUAUAUGCUUAUUAUCCCAUAGCAACGCGGUUUGGGACCAGGCCCAAAAGUGACACAAGAUGGCGCCCAGAACCACAGGCAGAGCCAACCUGAGCAACACCCUGACUCCCAGGUGGUGAGGUCCAAGUUGAUCUAAAAGUGAAUAAAGUUCCUGUGUGGCUGACAGACCUUCCACUCAAGCAUGGCUGUAUUGCAUUUUCUUAUAUUGAGGUUAGAGUUAAUGAUG